GGAAACGGUAAAUGACUCACGCGUUGCCGACGUAUAUUCUGGGGAAGACCUCGUUGAAAUGUUGUGUAGACACACCCCAGCUAACUCGCCCAGUGGCAGGCAGACACUCCGGAGACGGGAGCAGGACCGGAGCUGAGGACAGCUGCGCACGCCAGCCAGGGUGGCGACCGACGACGGCCGACCGAUAAGCAAGGUGGUGGGAGGACAACAUGCUGCCUUCAGUGUUUGAAGCUGUCAGGAGAGCAUAUGUGCUGUGUGUCGUCGCUGGCCUCUACCUGUCAUCUCUGCCCUGUGCGCAGAGCGUCAGGCAACACAUCAGUAAUACAGUACACACUUCUUCUGUCCUCCCACUUCACCUUCUUGUCCCAUGACACACAAGGAAGUGUGGGCUAUAUAUCUAAGCUACAGCUGACAAAGGAGAGAGAAUAUUGCAUUGUGUUGCUAUUGUGUUUCGUAAAAACAUAAGAUAUAAAAAUAUAAACAUAAAAUAUCAUUUAUUU
Molecule: long non-coding RNA, 500 nt
Organism: Myripristis murdjan (pinecone soldierfish)
Lineage: Eukaryota; Metazoa; Chordata; Actinopteri; Holocentriformes; Holocentridae
Exons: 3
Source: RefSeq, a predicted model, not a curated record